This 452-nucleotide ribosomal RNA is filed under the name Veillonella parvula. RNAcentral describes it as "bacterial SSU rRNA". It matches the Rfam family "Bacterial small subunit ribosomal RNA", at positions 28 to 457 of the family's 1533-position model. Lineage: Bacteria; Bacillati; Bacillota; Negativicutes; Veillonellales; Veillonellaceae. The record is from RNAcentral.
GACGAACGCUGGCGGCGUGCUUAACACAUGCAAGUCGAACGAAGAGCGACGGAAGCUUGCUUCUAUCAAUCUUAGUGGCGAACGGGUGGGUAACGCGUAAUCAACCUGCCCUUCAGAGGGGGACAACAGUUGGAAACGACUGCUAAUACCGCAUACGAUCUAAUCUCGGCAUCGAGGAUGGAUGAAAGGUGGCCUCUACAUGUAAGCUAUCACUGAAGGAGGGGAUUGCGUCUGAUUAGCUAGUUGGAGGGGUAACGGCCCACCAAGGCGAUGAUCAGUAGCCGGUCUGAGAGGAUGAACGGCCACAUUGGGACUGAGACACGGCCCAGACUCCUACGGGAGGCAGCAGUGGGGAAUCUUCCGCAAUGGACGAAAGUCUGACGGAGCAACGCCGCGUGAGUGAUGACGGCCUUCGGGUUGUAAAGCUCUGUUAAUCGGGACGAAAGGCCUUC